AACGCACGAGACCUGCGGACCUGCGGAGGGAUCAUUAGUGAACGCCCCCACGGGCUUAUAACUAUUCCAAACCUCUGUGAACCGUGCCCUUCGGGGCUAUUUUACAAACAUGGUGUAAUGAACGUCAUAUAUCAUAACAAAACAAAACUUUUAACAACGGAUCUCU
This 166-nucleotide unclassified non-coding RNA is filed under the name soil metagenome. RNAcentral's name for it is "partial contains 5.8S ribosomal RNA, internal transcribed spacer 2, and large subunit ribosomal RNA". The record is from RNAcentral.